GAUGAACGCUAGCGGCAGGCCUAAUACAUGCAAGUCGAACGGGAUCCAGAUCAAAGCUUGCUUUGGUCUGGUGAGAGUGGCGCACGGGUGCGUAACGCGUGAGCAACCUACCCUUGUCAGGGGGAUAGCCCGGCGAAAGUCGGAUUAAUACCGCAUGACAUCAUUGAGAGGCAUCUUUCGAUGAUCAAAGAUUUAUCGGACAAGGAUGGGCUCGCGUGACAUUAGCUAGUUGGUAAGGUAACGGCUUACCAAGGCUGCGAUGUCUAGGGGCUCUGAGAGGAGAAUCCCCCACACUGGUACUGAGACACGGACCAGACUCCUACGGGAGGCAGCAGUAAGGAAUAUUGGUCAAUGGACGGAAGUCUGAACCAGCCAUGCCGCGUGCAGGAAGACGGCCCUAUAGGUUGUAAACUGCUUUUAUACGGGAACAAACGUCGGUACGUGUACCGGUCUGAGUGUACCGUAAGAAUAAGGAUCGGCUAACUCCGUG
RNAcentral lists this ribosomal RNA (490 nucleotides) under uncultured bacterium. Its description in RNAcentral is "partial 16S ribosomal RNA". It matches the Rfam family "Bacterial small subunit ribosomal RNA", at positions 28 to 507 of the family's 1533-position model. The record is from RNAcentral.